AGAGAGGGAGACUCUGCGCCCUCCCUGGGCAGCUGCUCCAGUGCUCUGUGACGCUUAGUGCAAAGUUCCUCCUGAUGCUGAGAUGGAUCAUGUGUUUUAGUUUAUAGGCACUGCUCCUUGUCCUGUUGCUGGGCACGACUGAGAGAAGCCUGGCCCCAGCCUCUUGGCACCCACCUUGGAUAUAUUUAUAUGUAUUGAUGAGCUCCCCUCUCAGCCUUCUCCAGACUGAACAGGCCCAGCUCCUGCAGUCUCUCCUCAUAAGAGAGAUGCUCCAGACCCAUCAUCGGCUUUAGUCAGAUGUUACUGACCUAUAAUUAUUUUUUUUUAUUCUUUAGAGCAUUGAAGAUGUCAGAUUUGUGAGGCAAUAACACUCUUAUACUAUGGUGUCAUUACAAUUCUGCCUCGGGGACAUGCAAAUAUAGAGAGCUAGCUUGUGUAAAUUCAUCAUGGUAGUGUAUUUAGCUGGAUUAGUUCCUUUAAACAAAUCUCCUCAGGCUUAAGUUUUGAAUUAAGAUAAUGAGCAGUCCUGCUGAAGUUGGAAAAACAGAGAGUUUGGUAUGGAAAUUCACUGAAUCAGGACUAGCCUACGUAUUCAGCCUCUUUAAAACAUUUUCCUCUUUGGAAUGUGGGUGGAAAACAGGUGGAAAACCUGUUUUACCUCCUUUGGGUUUUCCCAGUGUGCCUGCACCCGUAGCACAUCUGGUCAGCCUCCCAAAAUGUGUGAGGAAAAUAGUAAAGAUGCCACAAGAUACGGUUCUCUUCAGUGUGACCUUAGAUAUUUGUUGGCUUUAGCGAAGUUCUGCUCAAUACAAAUGAAAGUCUGAAAGGGAUAAAGGAUUCUAUUACUCAAGCUGAGAUACCAACAAAGCACUUUGAAGGUUAAUUAUGGACCACAUGAUGGCAGCAACAGGCUCUGCUAGAAGAUCAGAGAUUGUUCUUCUUCAUCUUAAUAAGAAAUCAUUGAUGGCCUAAAGAGUUGCUUUGGUUAUUAAAAUAUGACCUGAAUAUUGCAACCUGUUACAGCUGAAAGAAGAGAUUCAAAUGUUUCAUCCUUGAGAUCACCACCUCAAGCCUCAACAUUGAAGAUAUUGAAAAACAGCAGAUGAAUUUCUUAUUGUACCAGCUGAAGCAGAAUGAGUGUGGGUGAUAACGUUUGCAUUCAGAAAGCACUGACUCUGCCUUUGCACAUGAAGAGUGGUCUCAGGAACGUGCUCCAGCCCCUCUGCCCUGCCAUAUGCUGUCCCCACAGCUGUCUCAGGCUGCCCAUGAGGAGUCUGGCCACUUGGAUCUAUGAGACUGGAGCUGCUCAGCUUUUUGAAGUUGUGGGUGCAUAUUCACCCAUGUCCAGGAUUCUGAUAUUCAAAACAUCACAGUUUUGGAUCUGCCCAUAACUGGACUUCAGGGGAAUCACCAAGAGACUUCAAGAUGCACUGACUGAUUUAGACAAUUCUCAAGGUGGGCACUAACCUCCUGCAUCUUUGUGAUGAAAGUCCUGCAAUUUGAUGUUCUUUUGCACUGCACUGCUCCAUCUUCUUAGUUUUUAUUAAACUUUUAUUCAAUCAGGAUGCUUUAAGUAUCUGGAUCUUGAAAUUCAUUGCUAGAUUCUUUAGUAUUCAUAAUUCUCAUCCAAUGAAAUUGCUCAGCUCUUCUACAGCAAUUGAGAGAAAUAAAACUUCCUUGAUUCUGAAAUUUUGUUGGUUUAGAAGUCAGAAGGAUACUGUCUCUUCUGACUGUAAUGGCUGUGCUGUUGCUUUUGCUGUCAGCAGUGUUUUUUUUUAUUAAUAGAUACUACUUUGUUUUGUUCUCAUUUAGCCUGGUAGCCUAAUAUUUAAAGUAGCCAAGAAUCAGAUUUUACCUAAAGAACAUCUCAUUUAUUGAAGGCUCUUUGAAAUUACUGGUUUAAUGUAUGUAUUGCAACUUGGCCAAUAACCAAUAACCUCAUCUUCUUUCUGUGCAAUUCCAGUUCUGCAUAACAAAGAGAGGGCCAUAUGUAUCCAGGGGAAACUGAAUCACUUAAGCAGAAAAUAAAGUCUGU
Vidua chalybeata is the source of this 2035-nucleotide long non-coding RNA. RefSeq lists it as uncharacterized. The record is from RefSeq and is a predicted model, not a curated record. NCBI's taxonomy places the organism in Eukaryota, Metazoa, Chordata, Aves, Passeriformes, Viduidae. The transcript is spliced from 5 exons.